UGCCCCAUGGCUGAGUUGGUUACAGCGUCCGACUGUUAUCGUCUUCUCGUAUGGUAGAUAGUUUACAUCGGAAGGUCGUGAGUUCGAGCCUCACUGGGGCAG
Molecule: non-coding RNA, 102 nt
Organism: Lenzites betulinus
Lineage: Eukaryota; Fungi; Basidiomycota; Agaricomycetes; Polyporales; Polyporaceae
Source: the annotation of a GenBank genome assembly